CAGGAUCAGUACUCGAGUCUGUGGGACACGCGGCACCACGAGCCACGCGCAGGUCCUACCUGGAAGAUGGCGGUUCCGGCCGAAAAGAAGGAGGUGGGGCCGCAGCUCGCGCCUUAGAAGGGCCUCCGGGCUGCCCAGAGCACUGCCUGAAAGAAAUGCCAGGGUAAAGUAACUCUUCUGGGAAAGGGGAUCUUCUCAGGGAACAAGGGGAGGCUGGCAGAAUAUUUUUCUUUCUUGUGAAAAAAAGGCUAUAAGCCAACUCAAGCUAACACUUGGGUCUUUCCGGACAGCCCGGAAAGGGGCCUUCAAGGCCGUCAAUCACGACGUCCACGACCCAAGCGUGCUGACGUUCGCCUUUGCGUCGAGCCUUCGCCGGAAGCGCGCUUGUGUUGGUGGCUCUGGGCACCCCGGAGAGGGGAGCACAGGUCAUCAUUUGGGAAGAGCUUAUAUUUAUAAUUCCACACAAGAUACUGAACGUAGAACGUCUUUUCCAUUUUGUACAGCACUGACACUGAUACAGAAGAUCCAGGUCAACAUGGCCCUUGGGAGGCUGGUGACUAAGACCAGGGUGCUCAUGCCUGUGGUAAGCAUUUGAUGCUAUAUACUCAAAUUUUGUGGGGAUAUGAUUUUGGAUCCACUAACCACCAGUUGUCUCACUUUCUCUGAGACAUGUGGGGUGUCAGAUGUUGGGGUGGGAUAGAAAUGGGAUACAAGUGUUUGCUUGGAGUCUGCCCAUUGUCAAGGAACAUUCCCUAUGUCUUCAGAGCUUGGAUUCCAAGUUGUGAGUCUCAGAGGAGGAUAUGAAGUUGUGUUAUCUAAACCCAGCACCAUUCUCCACAUGCACCUAAACUUGCAGAAGGUGAACAUGUUCCAGGUUUGACCUAAAAGCCAAUUCAUUUUGUGAUGCCCCUGACGGUUUCCACCUGUACACAUUCAAAAAUGUGUCUACCUUAGGGCAUCUGCAUCAACCAUGUGUCCUAGGACCCCAGGCAAGGGUGAGAAUAUGAAGAUCUGUCCCAAGGGAGCCACAGAUAUUGCGGUUUGGCUACAGCCAUCCUAAGAAGACAAGUAAACUCUGUCCAAAAUUAAAAGCAAAUGAGAGAAAACUGCUGACUCAUAUAGGCCCAAGAUCUUUCAUUAUACAGGUGUUUAUAAGGUUAGAAAAUACUGUUUUUGUUUUUUUUUCCUACUGAUAAGGAAGCCUUCAGAUUUAAAAAAAAAUAGCUAAAAUAAGUCAUUAAUUUAAUGACUGACUUAAUUCUAACUGCAAGGUUUUGCUUAGGUUCAGACAGAACAAAAAGCAUUAUAAGUGUGGUUUUGUUUCCUCUUACAUGUUUCUGAGAGAACAUAUCCAUGGAUUGCUGCUUUAGGAGGAAGCCAAGAGCUCGUUUGUGGACAGUAUCCAGGAUGAAUCUGUGUAAAAUGCCAAUGAAAAUACUCCCAGUCAAAACAUGAGGUGUGUGGGUGAGCUGUGAACAAAGAAAACGUCAUCACACUGAGAGCUUGAAGUACCAGGAAAGAAAGAUGACCAAGAAGCAAAUGAAGCAUCUGACUGAACAAUGCCAAGGAGGGCUCAGAGACACAAUUCUUAAAAGGGAAAGUACUUGCAAAGAAAACAGAGAAAUCAGACUUCAGAAGGAUUGGCUCCCCAAAUAGAGGACACAGUAAACAUUUGAUCACAUAAACCACAGAGUUAUCAAGGUUUGCAAGUUUAUACUAGUGUGUUAAUGCUGGCCAUGGACAACUUCCUUACAUGACUAUAGUCAUAAAGACCAAGGCAUAUUCUCAGAUAUCAACAUAGCAAAAUCACCAGUAGAAUUGCUUUUGGUUGGAAACCAGGUUUACAGGAUAUUCAAUAUUUUACUUGGUGGUCCAAGCCAGUUAGGGUGGCCUUGUUAUUUUUAUUUUAGAAGGCAAAGUACUUUACUUUUUUCCCAGUUGCUGUCUAUGAAAUGCUCAGUUCUGUUGGCAAUAGCAUAAUGUGUCAGUGUUGGCUUCUUGCAUCCCUCUUUUGGUCAGGUUCCUGCCAUUAAGAUGUAGAUUUGACGGAAGAGUUGACUUGUAGUUGUUGUUUUUAAAUUCAGUAUCAUUAAUUGGUGGUUUUGUGUUAUUUGGUGCAAUUACAUAGGAGUUACUAGAGUGGUUGUUUUCAUAGAAAGUCCUUUUAAUGGUUAUCAAAACUGUAGUCUUAUAACAUAGAGGCCUCAAAGUACACUUUUUGAGGGCAUUUUUUGUUCAGUGCUUAGGGUUUAUGUUCAGAAGUAUUUUAUUGCCCUCAUCAGAUCUGUUGGGAUUGAGAACUGGGAAACUACUUCACUCUACCAGGUCAAGCUGAAGUAACUAUGAUAGUAAGGGUACCCAUGUUGGUCACGGCUCUUGACUCGCAAGGAAGUGAGACUCAAAAUAUGUGUAAGAGGAGGAUUUCAUAAGCCAUAGAGCAGACACCAGGCAAGUUUUCCUGGGAGACAUUUGUGGCUAUCUUUUCCACAUGUGAAUAGUCCUUAUGAGUGGGCAUUUGACACUGAAUUCCAGAAGAAUUAAACAUUUAAAUGUAUAAAGUCUUCUAGAAGUAGAAGACUAUCUUUUUUUAUCUUUGUGUAAGGAAAAAUAGUCAAGACAUAAGAAGUUCUAAUCAGAAAGAUAGACACCUCUGACCUUAUUAAAAUUGAGAACUUCUGUUCAUCAGGAGACACCAAAAAGGAAGGGCAAAAACAAAUUACGAACUGGGAGAAGAUAUUUGCAAUGCCUGUAGCUGAGGAAGAUGGUAGUAUUCAGAUUAAUCCUAUAAAACAAACAGAAAAAGACAACCAAUGCAGGAACUGUCCAAACAGAGAUUUCACAGGGAGAAGAAAUACAAAACGUGAAUAAACAUGAAAAAUUACUCA
This is a long non-coding RNA of Neogale vison (American mink), 2885 nucleotides long. Lineage: Eukaryota; Metazoa; Chordata; Mammalia; Carnivora; Mustelidae. The record is from Ensembl.